This 460-nucleotide ribosomal RNA is filed under the name uncultured bacterium. RNAcentral's name for it is "partial 16S ribosomal RNA". It matches the Rfam family "Bacterial small subunit ribosomal RNA", at positions 338 to 795 of the family's 1533-position model. The record is from RNAcentral.
CCUACGGGAGGCAGCAGUGAGGAAUAUUGGUCAAUGGACGAGAGUCUGAACCAGCCAAGUAGCGUGAAGGAUGACUGCCCUAUGGGUUGUAAACUCCUUUUAUAUGGGAAUAAACUGUUCCACGAGUGGGAUUUUGUAUGUACCAUAUGAAUAAGGAACGGCUAACCCCGUGCCAGCAGCCGCGGUAAUACGGAGGAUCCGAGCGUUAUCCGGAUUUAUUGGGUUUAAAGGGAGCGUAGGUGGAUUGUUAAGUCAGUUGUGAAAGUUUGCGGCUCAACCGUAAAAUUGCAGUUGAAACUGGCAGUCUAGAGUACAGUAGAGGUGGGCAGAAUUCGUGGUGUAGCGGUGAAAUGCGUAGAUAUCACGAAGAACACCGAUGGCGAAGGCAGCUCACUGGACUGAAACUGACACUGAGGCUCGAAAGUGUGGGGAUCAAACAGGAUUAGAUACCCUAGUAGUC